This 12233-nucleotide long non-coding RNA is filed under the name Arachis ipaensis. Its description in RNAcentral is "long non-coding RNA (AIPA_LNC000542)". Lineage: Eukaryota; Viridiplantae; Streptophyta; Magnoliopsida; Fabales; Fabaceae. The record is from RNAcentral.
UGAUGAUCUGUUAUUAUUUUGAUUGUCCUAUCUUUGUUUCUCACCUAUAAAUAGAUUCUAUAUAUCUUGUAUCAUGUAUUUCACGGUAAACACAGAGUUUUCUCACAUUUGGUGGUAAUAGUAGUAUGGCUAAAUUAGGUGGCACAAUGCAGUCAGUUUGUUGUUUGAUAAUCAUAGUGGUGUUGGUGGGGGAAGGAGUCUCAGGAAGUGGAGAAGAAAAUAAGGGAAUAGGUGGUGGAGCUUCUACCAUGUUAAGGGCUUCAUCAGGUAAUAAUAAAGCUGCAUUCCUUCUUCUAACGAAGGCACCAAUCCCACCAUCAGGACCAAGCCAUAGAGGCCAUCCCCUCCGUCGUCCACACUUAGCAACCCAUCUUAAUAAUUAAUUCAGGGUAUUAAUAAUUAAUUCCAUAUGUAUUUUGGUUUACUUAUGCAUCCACUUUUUAUAUAUAGGUGACCUACCAUGUCUAAUUUAUUUAUAUUCCUCUUUUCUAUACGCAUGUAUGUAUUAAUAUGUAAAACAUGUAUGGCUUUAAAAUCAUCUUUUAUAUAAACGAUUAAACGAACUUUUUUUUUCCUCGUUAUAAGAGUUCUUUCAUUAUUUAUUUCUAAUUAAAUGAUAUGUAAAAUUCUAAUAAAAAAUUGAGUCAUUCUUAAGUAUUUACAGAAUAAAUAAUUUAUUUAUUCAUGUAAAAUUAUUAAGAAAAAGAACUGAAAGCAAAAACGUACUUAAAUUUAUGAAUAUAAUUAAAAAAGUUUUUUUGUUUGAUUUUUUUCAACUAAAAUUUUUUGUUUCUCUAAGCGUUUGAUGGAGAGACAGAGACAAAAAGAUUGAGACUGAGAGACAGAGACUAAGAGACAGGGAUUAAAAUAAAUUUCAGUAUUCUGUUUGGUGCAAAAUGAGAGAGACAUGAAUUGAAACAAGAAUGAAACUCUAAUUUAAUUUGCACACAAGGUAAAAUUGGAAUUAAUUAAUUGAAAUAAAAGUAUUUUAGGUAUAAAAUGUUAUUAAAAUUUCAGUCUCUAUCUCUAAAAAUUCCAAUCCCCUGUGUCCCUAUUUUUUGGAGGUACUGAAAUACUGAAAUUUUAGAGACAGAGACAAAAAUUUUAGUACCAGUCUCUAAACUAACAAACACGAUACUGAGUCUCAGUCUCUCAAUCUCUGUCUUAGUACUUCAAAACAAACGCUACCUAAUAAAACUGAAUUUUCGUAAUUCCAUGGAAAAUAAAAUUUAUGUAUACCUGUAAAGUAUAAAAUAAAUAAAUUUUUACUCCAAAUUGAUAGUCUAUACAAAUAAAAAUUGUCUACAUAAACCACAAUAAAAAUAUCGAUAAUUAAUGAACAACUAGCCUAUUAGCUCAGUUGGUUAGAGUGUCAUACUAAUAACGCAAAAAUUGUAGAUUUGAAACCUGCAUCAGUAUACGAAGAUAAUAAAUAGAUUCUUUUUCUUGUUAUUAUAACUUUAUAAGAGUUCUGUUCAUACCCUGAUCCAAUAAUAAAGGCCCAGGAUCCAAGCAAAGAAGCCCAACCCAAAGGGUUAGCCCUCACCCAGUACCAGCCUUCAUCCCAAGAAGUCGGUACUGAACACGACCUGCUCCAAAGAAGUCGGAUACGAGGGUUAGCUGGCAGAUAACACUCAUUCGAAUGAGUAACUGCCCCUAGAAACUCUCUAACCACUUCAUAGAGCCAUAUCUUAACCUCCCUAAGAUAUGGGAAUGGUUAUCCACCUAAAAAGGCGGCACUACUUCAGCGGUGGUUAUUGGUUCACCACUAUAAAUACACUGACACCAUUCAGGUAUCUCUAGGUCCCAAUACUCUCUAACCUGCUCACAUUCUUGCUAACUUAGGCAUCGGAGUGUCUUUGCAGGUACCACCCCCCAUUCUCUCAUACGUACAAGUCGGACGGAGGAAUAUCGAGUAACAGACCCCCUCGAAAGCCACCUCCUUCAUACGUUUGGGCCAGCCAACGCCAUCCAGCCUACUAAUCUCCGGUUACCCACCGUAACAUUGGCGCCGUUGCCGGGGACCCGAGAGAUCAACCAGUGAUGGCGGACAGAUCCCCUGAAGAGGGUCAUGUGGAGACAGAUUCUGAACAAGAGAAUCUGAACACUGGAAACAAUGAGGCAGACCAGACCCUUCACCAGGAAGCCAAUGAUCAACACAGGGAAGGCACCUCCGGAAUCAAAAACCCGAAGGUAAAUUCCUCGGAGGGGCGCGAAUCAGAAAAAGAAGGACCAUCCCACGCAGUUGAGCUCAUGGGAUUAGUCCACAGUCGCCUCGAGCAGCUAGAACAGGAACGGGAACGACAAAAGAAAACCGAAAAGAACCUAAAAGAGGAGAUGGAGCGACAAAAAGAGUUAGAAAGAAAACUCUUAAAGUUAGAAUCCUCCCUCAAAGGUCAGAACUCCCACGACGGUAGAGAAGAUUCGCCCUUAGGGGAGAAAGAUCCUUUUAGCGAGGACAUAAUGAGGGCAAAAGUUCCGAGAAACUUUAGAAGCCCCCGAUAUGGACCUCUAUGAUGGAACCACUGAUCCAAAGCAUCAUCUGAGCAACUUUAAAAGUCGGAUGUAUCUGGCUGACGCUUCUGACGCUACGAGAUGCAAAGCCUUUCCGACGACUUUGUCAAAAGCAGCAAUGAAGUGGUUCGACAGUCUCCCCCCGAGAUCUGUCACCAGUUUUGAAGACCUCUCAAGGAAGUUCUCGAUGAGGUUCUCCAUCCAGAAAGACAAAGUAAAACAUGCACCAAGUCUCCUGGGAAUAAAACAGGAGGUCGGGGAGUCCUUACGGGCCUAUAUGGAAAGGUUCAACAAAGCAUGUUUGGAGAUUCAAGACCUGCCCACCGAGGCAGUCAUCAUGGGGCUAGUCAAUGGUCUUAGAGAAGGUCCCUUCUCACAGUCCAUAUCAAAAAGACACCCCGCCUCUUUAAGUGAUGUGUAGGAAAGAGCUGAAAAGUACAUCAAUAUGGAAGAAAAUGCUAGGCUAAGAGACCCGAGUUGGUGACCUGGUCACCCUCCCUCAACGAAAGAGAGGGAGAGGGAAGCUAAGAAGAAGGAAGAACUCGACCUCGAUAGGCCAAGAAAAUAUUACUCUUAUACUCCACUGAAAAUUCCUGUAGUGGAUGUAUACAGAGAAAUUUGCAAUACCGAAAGGCUGCCUCCUCCUAGGCCCAUUAAAAAUAAAAGAGGGGGGAGCCGCGGUGAUUACUGUGAGUACCAUAAGAUAUAUGGGCACUCCACAAACGACUGUUACGACCUUAAAAAUGUGAUAGAAAAGCUGGCCAGAGAAGGUCGGCUUGACAGAUAUCUCAUAGAAAGGUCGGACAGUCAUGGAAAAAGAAAGCGAGAUGAUGUGGAUAGAAGAGACCCACCACCACAAACUCCGGAGAGACAUAUCCAUAUGAUCUCAGGAGGGUUUGCGGGAGGGGGACUCACAAAAUCUUCUCGUAAAUGACAUCUCAAGAGAGUUUACCAGGUCGGAGAGGGGUCAUCCGACCUUCCAACCAUUUCAUUCACAAAGGAAGAUGGGCGAGGAAUAAUCCCUGGGCACGACGACCCAGUGGUAAUUACCAUGAUCCUGGAAAAUGCCCAUCUCCACAGAAUACUAGUAGACCAAGGAAGCUCAGCGGACAUCCUCUUUAAGCCCGCUUUCGACAAACUAGGAUUAGAUGAGAAAGAGUUAAGAACCUACCCCGACACCUUGUACGGAUUAGGAUUUUUGCCCCUCCACACCACCUUUGGAAAGGGGGAGAAAUCAAAGACUCUGAGUAUAGACUUCAUAGUCAUCGACGUGGGGUCGGCCUAUAAUGCUUUAAUCGGCAGAGCUACCCUUAAUCGACUCGGAGCGGUGGUAUCGACACCCCACCUCUGCAUGAAAUUCCCGACCUCAGCGGGGAUAGCAACGGUAAGGGGAGAUCAUAAGUUGGCAAGGAAAUGCUACAAUGAAAGCCUAAACCUGAGAGGAAAAGGCAAAGAAGUUCACACAAUAGAGUUCGGUGGAGCAAGGAUUAAAGAAGAACUGCGACCACGACCCGGAGGAAAAACCGAGGAGAUUCAGGUCGGAGAAGAGGAAGGAAAAAACACUCACAUAGGAACCAACCUGGGGGAAACCCUAAGACAAGAAUUGACUAAGCUCCUAAGAGAUAAUUCCGAUCUCUUCGCCUGGAAGGCCUCCGACAUGCCUGGGAUAGAUCCCGAGCUCAUGUCCCACAAGCUCUCGGUCUACUUGGGAUCUCGACCUGUACAACAAUGAAGAUGCAAGCUCGGCCCAGAGUGAGCUCUAACAGUAGAGGAGCAAGUACAAGCGCUCCUAGAAGCCGGUUUCAUCAGAGAAGUCAAGUAUCCAACAUGGCUAGCCAAUAUAGUGCUAGUCAAAAAACAAAAUGGUAAAUGGAGAAUGUGCGUCGACUACACCGCCGGUUUGAAUGGACUCCUGAAUGUGAGGAGGCGUUCCAGGAGUUCAAAAAGUUUUUGAGCCAACCUCCUAUUUUGACCCGACCUAUGGCUGGAGAAGACCUCGUACUAUACUUAUCUGUAGCAGAAAAGGCCAUCUCAUCCGCCAUGAUAAGAGAAGACAAGGCCAGUCAGCACCCAGUAUACUUCAUCAGUAAAGUUCUACAAGGCCCUGAGCUAAGGUACCAUAAACUAGAGAAGUUUGCCUACUCCUUAGUAGUAGCCUCACGAAGGCUACGGCCUUACUUUCAAGCUCACACAAUAAGAGUCCGUACGAACCAACCCAUGAAGCAAAUCCUCCAAAAGACGGAUGUUGCAGGGAGAAUGGUUCAAUGGGCAAUAGAGCUCUCCGAGUUCGACUUGAAGUACGAAACUCGGACGGCGAUUAAAGCCCAGUGCCUCGCCGACUUCAUUGCAGAAUAUGCAGGAGAUCAAGAGGAUAAACCAACUACAUGGGAACUCUAUGUAGAUGGAUCCUCCAACAAAACAGGAAGCGGUGCAGGCAUAAUAUUGGUAGAUGAAAGGGGAACCCAGAUAGAGGUUUCCCUCAAGUUUGAAUUCCCAGCUUCAAAUAAUCAGGCAGAGUAUGAAGCCUUGAUCGCAGGAUUGAAGCUGGCAGAAGAAGUCGGUGCUACGAAGGUGAUGAUAUCCAGCGACUCCCAAGUGGUGACCUCCCAAAUAAGUGGAGAAUAUCAGGCAAAGGACCCAAACAUGAAGAGGUACUUGGAAAAAACUUUGGAGCACCUGGGGCGCUUUGCAGAAACCGAGGUGAAACACAUAACUCGGGAUCUAAACAGCAGAGCAGACGCCCUAUCCAAGUUAGCAAGUACCAAGCCAGGAGGAAAUAACAGAAGCCUGACUCAAAAGACUCUCCAGGAACCUUUCAGUGGUAAAAAUGGAAGACAAACAAGAAGUCUUUGAAAUGGUCGGAUUAAACCUCGGAUGGAUGAACCCCUUAGUCGAAUACCUGAAAUUCGACAUCCUCCCCAAGGAGGAAAAGGAGGCCAAGAAAAUCCGAAGGGAAGCACAACACUAUACCUUGGUGAAAAAUAUUCUCUAUAGAAGGGGGAUAUCAACACCAUUGUUAAAGUGUGUACCGACCUCAAGAGCCACCGAGGUAUUAGAGGAGGUACAUAGUGGAAUCUGCGGGAACCAUCUCGGAGCAAGGUCAUUAGCCAGAAAGGUGAUCCGAGCUGGAUUCUACUGGCCAACCUUGCAGAAAGAUGCCACAGACUUUGUGAAAAAGUGCCAACCGUGUCAAAUGCAUGCAAAUUUUCACGUGCCCCCCCCAGAGGAGCUCAUUAGUAUCACCUCCCCAUGGCCCUUUGCAAAAUGGGGAAUGGAUUUGUUAGGCCCUUUUCCCCAGGCGCCAGAACAAGUCAAAUACCUAAUAGUGGGAAUAGAUUAUUUCACAAAGUGGAUAGAAGCAGAACCACUGGCCACCAUCACUGCACAAAAAAGUUGGAGGUUCCUCUACAAAAAUAUAAUCACAAGGUAUGGGAUACCUUAUUCCAUUACCACAGAUAACGGAACCCAGUUCACUGACUCCACCUUUAGAAGCCUAGUAGCCAGUAUGAACAUCAAGCACCAGUUCACCUCAGUGGAACACCCACAAGCCAAUGGGCAAGCCGAGGCAGCCAACAAAGUCAUACUGGCAGGGCUGAAGAGAAGAUUACAAGAUGCAAAAGGGGCUUGGGCAGAAGAGCUCCCACAAGUACUAUGGGCUUACAGAACAACCCCCCAAUCCGCCACUGGAGAAACACCCUUCCGGCUAGUUUACGGCGUAGAGGCCAUGAUCCCAAUAGAGGUCAAUGAGCAAAGUCCAAGAGUGAUUUUCCACGACGAGAUCAAAAAUAUACAGGGGCACAAAGAAGAGCUCGACUUGCUCCUCGAAGCCCGAGAAGAAGCACAGAUAAGAGAAGCAGCGUUGAAGCAAAGGAUGACUACAAGAUACAACAAAAAAGUCAUUCGAAGGAGUUUCACCCCAGACGACUUGGUCUUAAUCAGAAACGACAUUGGAGUCAACAAAUCUGGGGAAGGAAAGCUCGCUGCAAAUUGGAAAGGGCCAUACAAGAUCAACGAGGUCUUAGGAAAAGGCUAUUAUAGGGUAACCGACUUUGACGGCAACGAGUUACCAAGAUCAUGGCAUGCUUGUAAUAUGAAAAGGUACUACAGCUAAAAAGCGAACCCUACUCCCUGAUGUACUCUUUUCCCAACUUCAUGAUUUUUUUCCCAAAACUAAAGGGUUUUUUCUGGAGAAGGGUUUUUAACGAGGCAUCAUAGUAGGGGGCUAAGGGAAAAUAAAUUAUCAAAAGCCCUUAGUAGCAAUAAGGUAUCUCCUCAAUUAAUAAAGAUCUCUUUCAUUUUAAAUAUCUCUUUUGAAUUCCCUUUUUAUUCUCUUUCUACAAAACGCGCCGAUUUAAGCUCGACAAAACGUGAAAAUCCCAUGAACCGACCUAGACGGUCGUCAGGAUAAAACGACGAGGUACAAGUCGGCGUAAAGAGGCUAUAGAAGUCGAUCAUGAUAAACUCGGGAGCAGUCCGAUUCAUAAGUCGGAAUGCGAAACCGAGUAAAAUUAAAAUGAAUCGCAAAAGUAGCCUAAGUCACGAAAAACUCAAUGAAACAAAAUUGAGUACUAGGAAUGAUAAAAAAGAGAUAGGAAAAAACUAAGAAAAAGUUAUAAGGCUGCCUUGAGGAUCAAAAAGAUUCAGAAAAGCAGGCCAGCCCCAAAGAAUAGGCUUUUUCCAAAAAAGAUCAAAAGAAUAGAAAAGCAUGCGCGCAUAAGGUAACUCAAAACCCUUAUCCAAAAAGGGCAUUUAUUUAAAACGCUAAAUUAAACCCUUAUUAAAAAGGGUAUCGUAAAUUGUUUUGUUUACGGCCCUAAAAGGCCAAAAAAGUGUUGCAAACAUCAACAAAUAAAUAUAAAAGAGUUUAAAAAGAGGGGCCCACAGGCCGGGCCCCAAUAGCCAAAAUUACUUCUUCGCAAGAGGAGUAGAAGGAUCACCACCACCAGGACCAGGAAUUGGAGAGAAAGUCGGAGGAGCGGUAGAAGAGCUCGGAGCGUCCUUAGAGCGAGGAGGGGACUCUAUGAUCCUCUGCCCCCGAGUCUUCAAAUCGGACUCGGACUCCACCACGGGGACAGGAGGAUCCACGAUGGCACCAUCAAUAACAAUCUUAUCAGGGUCCAAAGGAGAAAGGUCCAAGUCAGGAGCAAUGACUCCGACCUGCUCCUUAAAAACCCUCCAAGCCUCAUCAGCACCAUCCGCAAUAGAGUCCUCCAACUCGGUAUAGGCCUUCCGGGCAUUUAGCAAGUCAUUCUUUACAGACACAAGAUCAGCAAAUAAACUGUUGUAGCUGGCUUGCGCUGCCUUUCUCAAAUCCACCUCCAUGUUGCAUUGGGCUUGCAACUUCUUCUCCUUCUCCCGGAGGCUGUCCCUCUCCUCCUUCAGCUUGGCGACUUUCCCCUCCAACUCCCUCUCGUGCUCCUGAUAUAUGCGAAGCCUGCCUUCCAGCUCCUCGACCCUCGAGGUCGUCCCUAAAGAGUUGAGAGGAGUCUUCUCAAAUAUAUCUAAGAGUUUGCCACAAACUCCCACCGUCUUGAGACUCUCCUCAACCACAGCAGUAAGGUAGUGCCGAACAGAAACAUCAUCCAUGCUCAUACGAGCAUGGGGAUAAAUGUUCUUUCGGACGAACGCAAGAGCGUCCGCCUCACCAGAAGCGCCAGACUCUAAGGUCUUACGCUUCCUCUUCUCUGGUUCAGGAGUAGGUCGGACGGAGGGGGGUGGCAGAGAGGAAGCAGAAGAGGAAAAUCACAAUAGGUUGGGAGGGAGUCCCGACGUUUCGAGGAGGAGGAGGAGGAGAGACAACCGCCCUAGCGCCACCAGACCUGGCACGAGACCUCGCCUUGGCCUCCUGAACUCUUUGGUAAGACUCCUGGGCAUUUGUUUUUGCCAUCUCUGAAAAAACAAAAAAAGCAACAAUUAAUAGAUUAGACAAGUCGGAAGAAUUAAUCAGACAAGUCGGAAAACCAAAUGAAAGCUACCUAUUUGCGCUUGGAUAAAACUCGGAGACCCCUGGAUAAACUUUUUCGUGUCCAAGUAUGGAGACCUCCCCCAAACUUCUCGGAGGAACCCCACAAUGGCCGCCUCCACAUCAUCCAGGUCGUCAAGACCAUAUUUUUCACAAAAGGAGGCCUCCAACCAAUACAAAGGAAAGCAGGGGGAAGAGUUAUCAUCCAGAAAAAAAGGGUGGUGACCCUCUACAGCUUGCACUUUGAAAAAAUAGUUUUUGAAGUCAUGGAAGGAUUCGUCAAAAAGGGUGAAAAUUCUCCUACCUUGUAUGGUCCGGAACGACACCCACUGUUGUUUAUUGUUUAGCCCACUAAAGGAUUUUGUCAUAUGAAAAAGAUGGAAAAAAAUCUUUAAAGAAAUCGGGAACUCUAAAGCCUGGCUGAUGAAUUGAUAAAUUUUCAAAAAACCCCAAGAGUUGGGGUGAAGCUGGGUAGGAACGACUCGACAAUGACGUAAAACAGACACCUCAAAGUCUGAAAAAGGAAGAAAAACACCCAAACGGGUGAUCAUACACUCAUACAUAAAGAAAAAAUGGGAGGCCGCCUCAUUAGCCCUCCCAAAGCAAACCCGGUCUUCUGGACCUGGGGCCACUAACUCAUACUUCGGCUCGUCCUCCUCAGAAGAACAAAUUCUGUGGCGAGUACGAAGAUGGGUGAUAAACUCAGAAUCGACUGAGGGUUCCUCCCCUAAGACUGUGACAUCAACCCAGUGAGAGAGAGCAUCUACAGAAGCCAUUUCUUUUUCUAAAAAAGGGGUGACAAAACCUACAAGGGGAAAAGAAAAAUCACCAACACGGUCUCUAAAGGGAGGGGGAUGCGAAACUAAAGUAUGCAAAUCAAAUUUAUCUACAAAGGCAUAUUAAAGAACUAACCUUUAUCUGGAAAUGAGGGUUGGAAGCAAAAGCCUUCGAAAGCACAAGAAUGCAAUACGAACGAAUGCAAGGGAAAUUUGAAAGAUCGCAGAAACGAAACAAUGAAAGAGAGGGAAAGUAUUUAUAAGAACGUUAGGGGCAUAAUGGUAAAAUAGGGGCAGUCAUUAAUGAAGAUGCACUGUUACCAAGGCUAUUGAAACCCUACGCACACCCCUAACGGAUACGACGCUUGAUUAGACGUAACUGUCAGAACCAAAAGGUCACGAAAGGUCACGUCGGUUUCAAACCACCACGUCGGUCCUCUUACAAAUCGGCUACGACCCCGAGUAGAAUACUCGAACCCAAAUCUUAAAAAGAAAUUGGGCUCGAGUAGGGGCACUGUUCAUACCCUGACCCAAUAAUAAAGGCCCAGGAUCCAAGCAAAGAAGCCCAACCCAAAGGGUUGGCCCUCACCCAAUACCAGCCUUCAUCCCAAGAAGUCGGUACUGAACACGACCUGCUCCAAAAAAGUCGGAUACGAGGGUUAGCUGGCAGAUAACACUCAUUCGAAUGAGUAACUGCCCCUAGAAACUCUCUAACCACUUCAUAGAGCCAUAUCUUAACCUCCCUAAGAUAUGGGAACGGUUAUCCACCUAAAAAGGUGGCACUACUUCAGCGGUGGUUAUUGGUUCACCACUAUAAAUACACUGACACCAUUCCGGUAUCUCUAGGUCCCAAUACUCUCUAACCUGCUCACACUCUUGCUAACUUAGGCAUCGGAGUGUCUUUGCAGGUACCACCCCCCAUUCUCUCAUACGUACAAGUCGGACGGAGGAAUAUCGAGUAACAGACCCCCUCGAAAGCCACCUCCUUCAUACGUUUGGGCCAGCCAACGCCAUCCAGCCUACUAAUCUCCGGUUACCCACCGUAAUAAGUUCUUUCAUUAUUUAUUUCCGAUUAAAUGAUAUGCAAAAUUCUAAAAAAUUGAGUCAUUUUUAGAUGUUUACAGAAUAAAUAAUUUAUUUAUUCAGGUAAAAUCAUUAAAAAAGAAUUAACAGUAAAUGCGUAAUUAAAUUUGUGAACAUAAUCGAAAGAGAUUUAUUUUUGAAUUUUUUCCAUUAAAAUUUUAUGUAAUUGUAAUUUCAUGAAAAAAAAAAAGACUAUAGAGACGACAUUGAUAUAUUAAAAACCAAAAUCUUAAAUUAUUAUUUAUAUUUGAGUGGGAAAUCUAGACUAAAUUUUUAUAAUAGUCCCCAGAUUCAGCUCGUAUACUAAUUUAAUCCCUAAAAUUCCAAUUGCACUAUUUAUAUUCUCCAAAUUACGUUUUGGACUACAUAACGGUCCUUUAGUAGAAUUCCGGCGUGACUCAACGACAAUCUUGCUUAUGUGGCACAGCCACUGUCACGUAAGAUCUCCAAUUAUAUAAGUCAUUUAAAUUUAAAUUAAAAGUAAUAAUAACUUAUUUAAUUUAACAUUUAUGAUAAUAAAUAAAAUUAUCGUUAUAUAAGUCAUUUAAUAUAAAAUAAUUAAAUUAAAAAUUAUAAUUAAUAUAUAUAUCACUUGUAAAUAAAUUAAAAAUUAAUAAUUUUCUAAUAUUUAUACCAUAGAAUAAAUAAUUUUGUUAUAAAUAUUCAUUAACGAUUUAUUAUUCAAUUAAUAUAUCAAUACAAGAAUCAUAAUUUGCAAAGAAAAUACUUAAACAUGAUGGAAGAGAGACUGUAGUAGACCAUGCAAGAGUAUGCUGCUUUUUUUUUUUCUUUUUUUUUUUUUAAUAAUUUCAAACGACAAUACUUCUAGUAGUUUUUCCCUACCAUCAUCAAUCAAUGGAUUAUCGUUUGUAUGAUAGGCUAACAAUCCAAAAACAAAUAAAUAAAUAAAUAAUAAAAUAGCAUACUUUAGCGUACUACUCCAGUGAUUGUUUAUCUUAAUCUCAUGAGUAUUUUAUUAAUUAUUUAAUUCCUAGAAUUGAAUGUUGCGUAGUUAAUUAUAAAAGAUAUUAAAACUAAUUUAAAUCAUCGAAAAAACAAUAGUAUAAAUAUUUUUGGUAAUUUAGAGAGAUAAAUUAUUAGUAUAGUAUCAUUAUUAGAGCGUCGUGCUAAUAACGCGAAGGUCGCAGGUUCGAAACCUGCAUGGGCCAUUUUAUUCUUCUUAUAUCUCUAUCGUUGCCGAAGUAUACUAACAUAAUACAUGUAUUGGAGAAAAACUAAAGGGAGAAUUUUGCAUAGCUUCACAAGAAGUGAACUUACUUUUUCUAUGAAAGCAGCCCGAAAUCAAUAUAAUACCUUAAGAAAGCAGUGAAGUUAUUUCAUAAUUACGGAACUAAGUUGCCCGGUAAUUUGGAUAAGGUGGGUACUCCCAUGAAGAUAUUAUAAUUGUCUUCAUGUGAUGAUUUUUCUUUUUGACCCUUAGAUGAUGGAGUGUAGGGUUAGAUUUUGAUAUGUUAUAAAAGUGUUGUUUUUAUUUGAAGUGUGGCCAAAUCAAUAAAUCACACUUUUAUACAAAGCAUCUUUAUAAAAAGAUGUUUUUUGCAUCUUCAUUUGAGUAGCUCCCUUUGGAUAAUAUCAUAAUCAUUUUCAAAGAACAAUGACAAGGAAGAGAAGCUUUGAUCAUUGGAUGUUCUGCAUCUUUCAAACAUGUUCCACUUUUGCUUGAAAGCAAAGGGAAAAUAAACAAUCUAUCUACACACUGUACAAUUGUAAUUGUUUGCUUUGAGCUAAUCUAUGUUAUGUCAGCUUUUUUUUUUUUUUUGAAGAAUGCAGCAUUCAAUCCAAAAUUGAUAUGAUGCUGCAGAACAAAUCUUCUGUGCAAGGAAUUGUGAGGCCACCCAUUGGAUGAACAUAACCAAAUUCUUCUUCUGCUUUACUCA